UACGUAGGGUGCGAGCGUUAAUCGGAAUUACUGGGCGUAAAGCGUGCGCAGGCGGCGAUGUAAGACAGAUGUGAAAUCCCCGGGCUCAACCUGGGAACUGCAUUUGUGACUGCAUCGCUGGAGUGCGGCAGAGGGGGAUGGAAUUCCGCGUGUAGCAGUGAAAUGCGUAGAUAUGCGGAGGAACACCGAUGGCGAAGGCAAUCCCCUGGGCCUGCACUGACGCUCAUGCACGAAAGCGUGGGGAGCAAACAGG
This 253-nucleotide ribosomal RNA is filed under the name uncultured bacterium. Its description in RNAcentral is "partial 16S ribosomal RNA". It matches the Rfam family "Bacterial small subunit ribosomal RNA", at positions 524 to 776 of the family's 1533-position model. The record is from RNAcentral.